This 301-nucleotide ribosomal RNA is filed under the name uncultured bacterium. RNAcentral describes it as "partial 16S ribosomal RNA". It matches the Rfam family "Bacterial small subunit ribosomal RNA", at positions 509 to 809 of the family's 1533-position model. The record is from RNAcentral.
CAGUCGCCGCGGUAAUACGUAGGGUCCGAGCGUUGUCCGGAAUUAUUGGGCGUAAAGGGCUCGUAGGCGGUUUGUUGCGUCGGGAGUGAAAACCCAGGGCUUAACUUUGGGCUUGCUUUCGAUACGGGCAGACUUGAGGCAUUGAGGGGAGAACGGAAUUCCUGGUGUAGCGGUGAAAUGCGCAGAUAUCAGGAGGAACACCGGUGGCGAAGGCGGUUCUCUGGCAAUGUUCUGACGCUGAGGAGCGAAAGUGUGGGGAGCGAACAGGAUUAGAUACCCCGGUAGUCCCUGUCUCUUAUAA